UGGGAAACCUGCCCAGAAGCGGGGGAUAACACCUGGAAACAGAUGCUAAUACCGCAUAACAACUUGGACCGCAUGGUCCGAGUUUGAAAGAUGGCUUCGGCUAUCACUUUUGGAUGGUCCCGCGGCGUAUUAGCUAGAUGGUGGGGUAACGGCUCACCAUGGCAAUGAUACGUAGCCAACCUGAGAGGGUAAUCGGCCACAUUGGGACUGAGACACGGCCCAAACUCCUACGGGAGGCAGCAGUAGGGAAUCUUCCACAAUGGACGAAAGUCUGAUGGAGCAACGCCGCGUGAAUGAACAAGGGUUUCGGCGCGUAAAACUCUGUUGUUAAAGAAGAACAUAUCUGAGAGUAACUGUUCAGGUAUUGAC
Molecule: ribosomal RNA, 369 nt
Filed under: Lactiplantibacillus plantarum
Lineage: Bacteria; Bacillati; Bacillota; Bacilli; Lactobacillales; Lactobacillaceae
Description: bacterial SSU rRNA
Rfam family: Bacterial small subunit ribosomal RNA
Source: RNAcentral